This 1272-nucleotide long non-coding RNA is filed under the name Homo sapiens (human). RNAcentral describes it as "HSALNT0383704". The record is from RNAcentral. Lineage: Eukaryota; Metazoa; Chordata; Mammalia; Primates; Hominidae.
UUGCAGGCGCUGGGGCUCCCAAAGGACGGAGCUUUGAAUCCACCUGGGAGGCUUAAGAGAAAGUGCUGAGUCCCCCAUGCCCUACCCCUGAGACUGCUGACAGGCAUCGCUGAGGGCUGCAGCUUUGGAAUCGGGCAUCUUCUGAGGAAGAGAAAGGCACCACAGCCACGGCACAGAAGACUAGUUCUAGGUGCAAUGUUUUAAGGGGAAGACUUACACUAUGAAGCUAGCCCAGAAGAGGGUGACUAGAGUACUGAGGAGUUUCUACCUGGAAGGGCUGUAAGGAAGACAACUGCUAUGUUGUGAGCGGCUCUAUGGAGAGGCCCAUGUGGAGGGAAGUGAGGAAGGCCUCUGGCCAACAGUCCAGGAGGAAGUGAAGCCCUCAGUCCAACAGCCUGUGUGGAACUGAACCCUGCAAACAACUCUGUGUGUGAGCUUGGAAGUGGAUCCAUAUUCAGUCAAACCUUGAGAUGGGACACCAUGCUCUGCUAACACUUGAUUGUGGUCCCAGCUAGGCCACUGCUGAAGUCUUGACUCAGAGAAACGAUGAUAUAGUAAAUGUUUGUUGUUUCAAGUUGGUAAGUUUUGGGAUAAUUUUUUAUAUAGUGAUAAUUUUUUAUAUACUUUAAAAUAACACAUUGCCCUAUCCUUUGGUUACACUUUUCUCUUGGAACUCUGCUUGCCCAUAUAUUACAGAAAUAUUUUUCAGAUCAUGGGCUGAAAGGUGGAUUAUGGAUGCAAUGUUUAAAUUUAGCAAUGUCAUUUAUGACUGUUCAUAUGAGCUUUGCUGCAUAAAAUGUUGAUAUUAAUUUGUUUCCCUUUAAGACAUUCUUAAUGUUUACCUCUCAGUAUUUUCUUUGUAAUCAAUUAAUGUAAGAUGAAUAUAGUUUGUAGGUUUUACCUUUCUUGAUUCGUAUACAAAACACACAACAUCCAACCAUUGUUAUUUAAAGAUUAUCUAGGAGGAGAUGAUGGAAACUCUGUUUUGGGCCACCUUCUUUACACAUUGGGUCUAUUUCCCCUAACUUGAGUAUAUAUUAAACUAGUGGGGGAUUGAGCUACAAAAAUGCUACUUGGUGAGAAUUUUAUUAAUACAAAUACUCAACUCUGAAGUUACGUUUUUGUGGAAAGUUAUCACUUUGGAAUUUGAAUUUUCUUGGAGCUAAGCCACUGGUAGUUGUAAAAGCUACACCUGUAAAUUUGCUCCCUAGAAGAUACUUUCGUUUAGUGACCACUUGUUUCUCUGUGGAUAAAUUCAAUUAUAAAUUACAA